CGGGCAAAUGCAACAAGGAUGACAAGAAGGCCCUGCUCGCCAUCAAGAAGGCUCUCGGCGACCCCUACGUCCUCAUCGCAUGGACCUCCCAGUAUGCCUGCUGCGACUGGGCCGGCGUCCGUUGCAACGAGACCACCAGCCGGGUCACCUCCCUCGACAUCGACGGCACCAACACCUCCUUCGCCAUCCCGUCCGCUGUCGCCCACCUCCCCUUCCUCACCUCCCUCACUUUCCACAAGAACCCCGGCCUCACCGGCCCCAUUCCCCCUGCCAUCGGCACCAUUACCGACCUCACCUUCCUGCGCCUCGACUGGAACAGCCUCUCCGGCCCCGUCCCGGACUUCCUCGCACGUCUCACCCGCCUUGAUUACCUCAAC
This 377-nucleotide long non-coding RNA is filed under the name Musa acuminata (dwarf banana). Its description in RNAcentral is "long non-coding RNA (MACU_LNC005106)". Lineage: Eukaryota; Viridiplantae; Streptophyta; Magnoliopsida; Zingiberales; Musaceae. The record is from RNAcentral.